GACGAACGCUGGCGGCGUGCUUAACACAUGCAAGUCGAACGGAAAGGCCCUGCUUUUGUGGGGUCCUCGAGUGGAGAACGGGUGAGUAACACGUGAGUAACCUGCCCUUCACUUUGGGAUAACUUCAGGAAACUGGGGCUAAUACCGGCUAGGAGCUCCUGCUGCAUGGUGGGGGCUGGAAAGUUUCGGCGGUUGGGGAUGGACUCGCGGCUUAUCAGCUUGUUGGUGGGGUAGUGGCUUACCAAGGCUUUGACGGGUUGCAGGCCUGCGAGGGGAACCUGCCCCGUUGGGCCUGGACUGCGGCCCGGCCUCCUCCCGUAGGCAAGAGUGCAGAAGAGUGCACUGUGGGCGGAAGCCUAAUGCAGCAACGCCGCGUGGGGUAUGAGGGCCAGCGGGUUGUGUUCCGCAUUCCCCUUUGCCGAAGCGUUAAUGACGGUAAUGGGUAAAUAAGCACCGGCUAACUACGUG
RNAcentral lists this ribosomal RNA (468 nucleotides) under uncultured bacterium. Its description in RNAcentral is "partial 16S ribosomal RNA". It matches the Rfam family "Bacterial small subunit ribosomal RNA", at positions 28 to 507 of the family's 1533-position model. The record is from RNAcentral.